GAUGAGGGAACUGAAGCCUGGAGAGGUGAAGACAAUUGCCCACGGUUGCGCAGGUUGUCCCACAAGAUCUCUGCUGCCUCAUCAUGGCUUGGAAUUGACCCAGCUCUUGGUGUCUCUGUCCAUGGAACACAAACUGAAGCAGAUCAGAAAAAUACAGAAUUUCAGAACUGGAUAGGACCUCAGAGUGUGGCUAGUUCAAACCCAUACCUGAAAUAAAAGAAUCUGCUCUUUGAUAUAAUCCAGAAGUACUUAAAGACUUCCAAUGAGGAGUCAUAUUUUACUUAUGGAUAUAUAAAUUUCUGGGCUGGAAGCCCCCAGAUGUCUAGUCCAGUUUGUAUUUGACCAAAAAUCUCUGCGACACCGCAACAAAGAACCACCUGGUAGCUGACUACCUAGAUUCUGAUUUCCCCAACAAAGACCUUCCCGAAAAUAGAAAGUAAACGGAUUUGGAGGCUUCAUAAGUAAAUGAAUAUUCAUAGGAAGAUGUAUACAGAAAAGAAAAUCCCUGGGCCGGAUCAGACUCAUGGCUGCCUUGCUGUUCUUCCCAAGUUGGUUCUGGAAUUCAGAGGGAAAUAAGAAUAUUUCCCUCUCCCAGAAUUGACAUCACUGCAAAGGACUGUGGGAAGACUAUAGAUAUGGCUAACGUGAAGAAACAAUUUGAAAAUGUGUUCCUGUGGGAAAGAAUUCUGUCCUUCGACGGGAUAAUAGUCAGCACCCAUCCAACCUGUUUGCUCCCAGAAUGUUCCAGCCACAACUAGGUCACCGUGACUCACUAAACAAAUCUUCAUCAAUCUCCUAACUUUGUACUUUCAUCUCCCAUCAUUGUUCUGCUCCAUUUUCGUCUUUCAAUGCUGAGAAGUUUCUUUUCCUUCUUAACCCAGUUGUAAGUCUCUAAACUGGCCUGUCACAGUACACUUGGUGGGAAUACAUGGUUGUGAGACUUGAUUGCCUGUCCAUGGUCCCAUUCUCCCCUUGUAUAUACAAAUAUACAAAUCAGGAAAGUGUAGAGUAUUUCAUCAAUCCCUUGGUUUCAAGGGGAUGGACAAUACUUUACACCUACCCAACACCAUUUAUUAAAGACCUUCUGGGAUCCAAUUAAUUAUAUUUUUAUCAAUGGAAAAACUAAGACAAACAGAUGAACUACCUGGUCAAAAUCAGGCCAUGUCAGGAUAGCACAAGAUCCCAGGCAUCCUGACUUUUAAGACCAUACCUUAAUGGCUAUAGUGUACCACACCAGAUAGCAGGAGACUAAACUAUUGGAGAGUUCUUUCAGUGCUCACUAACGAGGAGUAUUGAAGUCCAAAGAACAGAUUUCCAUCUUGUUAGAAGUGACAAACUUAAACAGAAAUCAUUUCCCUAAACACACACUCCAAUUCCUAGAGGGUGUUUUCUGCCCUGGGAGUUAUUAGCUCUUCCUAUGUUCCAUUACCAGUCCACAACUGAAGCAGAAGCCCUUAGCUGCACAGAAGAAAAUCAAAACUGGAAACUCUUUGAAGAACUUCUCCUGGACUCUGUUUCCCUAGAGGAUCAAACAGCAUGGAAUUGGAUAUAAUGGGUGUUAGUUUUAGAUCAAAUAACACAGCGUGCUAUUAUAUCUCUGAUUCCAACAUCACUAGAAUCAUCCAAAUGAAAUCUGCACAGGAAUAAAAGGAAAAGAACUAAUGAAAGAGGUUUUGAAGGGCUGGCCUUGAUGGAGGGGAUCAAUGUUUAUAAAUGUCCUUGAUUACAAUAAGAGAACAGGACCUUAGAUUUCUAAGGCUAGUUUCCUGCAAUAAUCAUUUGUUAAGCACCUCCUAUAUGCAGGGUGUUGUGCUAGGAGCUAAGGAUUCACAGAUGAAAAAUCAAGGACUGCUGUGGAGGAGUUUACAAUCCAAUGGGGGAAGGGGAAGUGAUACAAAACGGACACACAAAAAAAC
Molecule: long non-coding RNA, 1916 nt
Organism: Vombatus ursinus (common wombat)
Lineage: Eukaryota; Metazoa; Chordata; Mammalia; Diprotodontia; Vombatidae
Exons: 5
Source: RefSeq, a predicted model, not a curated record